AGCGAACGCUGGCGGCAGGCCUAAUACAUGCAAGUCGAGCGCACCUUCGGGUGAGCGGCGGACGGGUGAGUAACGCGUGGGAACGUGCCCUUUGGUACGGAACAACUGAGGGAAACUUCAGCUAAUACCGUAUGUGCCCUUCGGGGGAAAGAUUUAUCGCCAUUGGAGCGGCCCGCGUUGGAUUAGGUAGUUGGUGAGGUAAAGGCUCACCAAGCCUACGAUCCAUAGCUGGUCUGAGAGGACGACCAGCCACACUGGGACUGAGACACGGCCCAGACUCCUACGGGAGGCAGCAGUGGGGAAUUUUGGACAAUGGGCGCAAGCCUGAUCCAGCCAUUCCGCGUGCAGGAUGAAGGCCCUCGGGUUGUAAACUGCUUUGUUACGGAACGAAAAGACUCUUUCUAAUACAGAGAGCCCAUGACGGUACCGUAAGAAUAAGCACCGGCUAACUACGUGCCAGCCGCCGCA
RNAcentral lists this ribosomal RNA (468 nucleotides) under uncultured bacterium. RNAcentral's name for it is "bacterial SSU rRNA". It matches the Rfam family "Bacterial small subunit ribosomal RNA", at positions 29 to 519 of the family's 1533-position model. The record is from RNAcentral.